RNAcentral lists this ribosomal RNA (443 nucleotides) under uncultured bacterium. Its description in RNAcentral is "partial 16S ribosomal RNA". It matches the Rfam family "Bacterial small subunit ribosomal RNA", at positions 338 to 795 of the family's 1533-position model. The record is from RNAcentral.
CCUACGGGAGGCAGCAGUGGGGAAUAUUGGGCAAUGGAGGAAACUCUGACCCAGCAAUGCCGCGUGAAUGAAGAAGGUCUUCGGAUUGUAAAGUUCUUUAGUCAGGGAAGAAGUCAAUGACGGUACCUGAAGAAUAAGCUCCGGCUAACUACGUGCCAGCAGCCGCGGUAAUACGUAGGGAGCAAGCGUUGUUCGGAAUGACUGGGCGUAAAGGGUGCGCAGGCGGUUGAGUAAGACAGAUGUGAAAUCCCCGAGCUUAACUCGGGAAUGGCAUAUGUGACUGCUCGACUAGAGUGUGUCAGAGGGAGGUGGAAUUCCACGUGUAGCAGUGAAAUGCGUAGAUAUGUGGAAGAACACCGAUGGCGAAGGCAGCCUCCUGGGACAUAACUGACGCUCAGGCACGAAAGCGUGGGGAGCAAACAGGAUUAGAUACCCCAGUAGUC